Molecule: ribosomal RNA, 492 nt
Filed under: uncultured bacterium
Lineage: Bacteria
Description: partial 16S ribosomal RNA
Rfam family: Bacterial small subunit ribosomal RNA
Source: RNAcentral
AGUGAACGCUGGCGGUAGGCCUAACACAUGCCAGUCGAACGGCAGCACAGUAAGAGCUUGCUCUUACGGGUGGCGAGUGGCGGUCGGGUGAGGAAUACAUCGGAAUCUACUUUUUCGUGGGGGAUAACGUAGGGAAACUUACGCUAAUACCGCAUACGACCUACGGGUGAAAGCAGGGGAUCUUCGGACCUUGCGCGAUUGAAUGAGCCGAUGUCGGAUUAGCUAGUUGGCGGGGUAAAGGCCCACCAAGGCGACGAUCCGUAGCUGGUCUGAGAGGAUGAUCAGCCACACUGGAACUGAGACACGGUCCAGACUCCUACGGGAGGCAGCAGUGGGGAAUAUUGGACAAUGGGCGCAAGCCUGAUCCAGCCAUACCGCGUGGGUGAAGAAGGCCUUCGGGUUGUAAAGCCCUUUUGUUGGGAAAGAAAAGCAGCAGGUUAAUACCCCGCUGUUCUGACGGUACCCAAAGAAUAAGCACCGGCUAACUUCGUG